Molecule: ribosomal RNA, 253 nt
Filed under: uncultured bacterium
Lineage: Bacteria
Description: partial 16S ribosomal RNA
Rfam family: Bacterial small subunit ribosomal RNA
Source: RNAcentral
UACGGGGGGGGCAAGCGUUGUUCGGAAUCACUGGGCUUAAAGGGCGCGUAGGCGGAUUUGUCAGUCAGGGGUGAAAUCCCGGGGCUCAACCUCGGAACUGCCUUUGAUACAGCAAGUCUUGAGUUCGAGAGAGGUGGGUGGAAUUCCUAGUGUAGAGGUGAAAUUCGUAGAUAUUAGGAAGAACACCGGUGGCGAAGGCGGCCCACUGGCUCGAUACUGACGCUGAGGUGCGAAAGCGUGGGGAGCAAACAGG